RNAcentral lists this long non-coding RNA (1200 nucleotides) under Apteryx haastii (Great spotted kiwi). RNAcentral's name for it is "lncRNA (ENSAHAG00000013453.1)". Lineage: Eukaryota; Metazoa; Chordata; Aves; Apterygiformes; Apterygidae. The record is from RNAcentral.
ACACCGCUUUUAGAAGUCAAACCGAAGUGCCGCCGACAUAAGGACUCUCCCGCAGUCACCGCACCGGCCGCCCUCCGCGCUCGGCUCCACCGCCACCGGCCCCUCCGAGCCCCGCCGGACCCGCGCCGCCGACGGGACGGGCCGGGACGGGCCGGGACGGGCGGGAAGGCGGCGCCCGGCACCGCGGGCAGCUCCGGCCCNNNNNNNNNNNNNNNNNNNNNNNNNNNNNNNNNNNNNNNNNNNNNNNNNNNNNNNGCAGGCGGGCGGCGCAGCGGAGGGGCACCCAGCCCGGCCCGGCGGCUCCCGGGGCCCCGUCCGGAGUCGGCCGCCAAGUCGGCUUUUGGUCGCCCAAAGUUUCUGCCCCUUCCCGGCGCGCCGCUCUGGGGAGAGGCAACCGCAAAGUUACCGCUGCCGCGGGCGCCGCCCGCUAGCAGCGAAGUUCCUGCCUGCCAGCCCCGGGCGGGAAGGGAAGCCCCGGCCCUGCCCCUGCCCCCCAAGCCGGGGCGACCCCUUCCCCUCCCCGGCUCCCCGUCCGCCCCUCCGCCCUCACCUCAGCCCCGUCUCACCUCAGGCGCUGCCUCCUCCCCGCCGGGCCGGGCCGGGGUGGGCGCCGGGGCCUCCCGGCUCCAUCGAGGCGGCGCUGCAGGGGGCGGCACGGCACGGCGCUUCGCCCCGCUCCGGCCUCCCGGCUCCCUCCGGACCGCCUCGGUGCCCGGCUCCACGCCGCCGCCGCCCGCCAAAACGCCAAGCGCCGGGAGCGGAGCGCCGCCUGCCGCCGGGGGCACGGGACGCGGGGGCGGCCCCUUUGCUGGCGGCGGCGGGUGCAGAUGCCGCCGGCAGGCGGCUUCGCAGCGGGGCCCCCUGCCGCUGCCGGGGGCGCUCCCGCCGGCCGGCACCGCCUCCCCGCGCCGGGGCAGCCCUCCGGCCGGGCCGGGUCAGGCCGGCUGCGCGGUGGUGGGCGGGCGAGCUCCGGCCGCUGCGCGGGGCUCCGGGGCAGCCGUUAACGGCCGCCGCGGUGGGAGAAGGGCGGCAGCGCCCCGCUCCCAACGGCCUCUAGGGCGCGGGGCCCCUCACGCGCCCGCGCUGCCCUCCGCGGCACGGCGCGUAUCCCGCGGCUUACAGCUSCCUUUCGCGAGCAGCUGCCGUAAAUCAGUGCCCGCACUAAACACGAGCCUGAAUUUGAUACACUCUCAAAAGUGA